This 460-nucleotide ribosomal RNA is filed under the name uncultured bacterium. RNAcentral describes it as "partial 16S ribosomal RNA". It matches the Rfam family "Bacterial small subunit ribosomal RNA", at positions 338 to 795 of the family's 1533-position model. The record is from RNAcentral.
CCUACGGGGUGCAGCAGUGAGGAAUAUUGGUCAAUGGGCUUACGCCUGAACCAGCCAAGUCGCGUGAGGGAAGACUGCCCUAUGGGUUGUAAACCUCUUUUGUCAGGGAGCAAUUGGCGCUACGUGUAGCGUUAUCGAGCGUACCUGAAGCAAAAGCAUCGGCUCACUCCGUGCCAGCAGCCGCGGUAAUACGGAGGAUGCUAGCGUUAUCCGGAUUUAUUGGGGUAAAGGGGUGCGUAGGCGGAAUGCCAAGUCAGCGGUAAAAUCGCGGGGCUCAACCUCGCUCCGCCGUUGAAACUGGCGUUCUUGAGUGGGCGAGAAGUAGGCGGAAUGCGUGGUGUAGCGGUGAAAUGCAUAGAUAUCACGCAGAACUCCAAUUGCGAAGGCAGCAUACCGGCGCCAAACUGACGCUGAAGCACGAAAGCGUGGGGAGCGAACAGGAUUAGAUACCCCUGUAGUC